CCUACGGGAGGCAGCAGUGGGGAAUAUUGGACAAUGGGGGGAACCCUGAUCCAGCGACGCCGCGUGAGGGAAGAAGUAUUUCGGUAUGUAAAGCUCUAUCAGCAGGGAAGAAAGAAAUGACGGUACCUGACUAAGAAGCCCCGGCUAACUACGUGCCAGAAGCCGCGGUAAUACGUAGGGGGCAAGCGUUAUCCGGAUUUACUGGGUGUAAAGGGAGCGUAGACGGCGAUGCAAGUCUGAAGUGAAAGGCGGGGGCCCAACCUCCGGACUGCUUUUGAAACUGUAUGGCUGGAGUGCAGGGGAGGUAAGUGGAAUUCGUAGUGUAGCGGUGAAAUGCGUAGAUAUUAGGAGGAACACCAGUGGCGAAGGCGGCUUACUGGACUGUAACUGACGUUGAGGCUCGAAAGCGUGGGGAGCAAACAGGAUUAGAUACCCGGGUAGUC
This 443-nucleotide ribosomal RNA is filed under the name uncultured bacterium. RNAcentral's name for it is "partial 16S ribosomal RNA". It matches the Rfam family "Bacterial small subunit ribosomal RNA", at positions 338 to 795 of the family's 1533-position model. The record is from RNAcentral.